RNAcentral lists this ribosomal RNA (449 nucleotides) under uncultured bacterium. RNAcentral describes it as "partial 16S ribosomal RNA". It matches the Rfam family "Bacterial small subunit ribosomal RNA", at positions 29 to 523 of the family's 1533-position model. The record is from RNAcentral.
AACGAACGCUGGCGGCAGGCCUAACACAUGCAAGUCGAACGCUGUAGCAAUACAGAGUGGCAGACGGGUGAGUAACGCGUGGGAACAUGCCCUUCGGUUCGGAAUAACUCAGGGAAACUUGAGCUAAUACCGGAUACGCCCUUAGGGGGAAAGAUUUAUUGCCGAAGGAUUGGCCCGCGUCCGAUUAGCUAGUUGGUGAGGUAAUGGCUCACCAAGGCGACGAUCGGUAGCUGGUCUGAGAGGAUGAUCAGCCAGACUGGGACUGAGACACGGCCCAGACUCCUACGGGAGGCAGCAUUGGGGAAUAUUGGACAAUGGGCGCAAGCCUGAUCCAGCCAUGCCGCGUGAGUGAUGAAGGCCCUAGGGUUGUAAAGCUCUUUCGCCAGGGACGAUAAUGACGGUACCUGGAUAAGAAGCCCCGGCUAACUUCGUGCCAGCAGCCGCGGUAA